Non-coding RNA from Acanthosepion pharaonis, 92 nucleotides. The record is from the annotation of a GenBank genome assembly. Lineage: Eukaryota; Metazoa; Mollusca; Cephalopoda; Sepiida; Sepiidae.
GAAACACCGGUUUCCGUACGAUAUCCCGAAGUUAAGCAACGUGGAUCCUGCUUAGUAUUUAGAUGGGUGACCGCUUGGGAAUACCAGGUACU